Molecule: ribosomal RNA, 430 nt
Filed under: Pseudomonadota bacterium
Lineage: Bacteria; Pseudomonadati; Pseudomonadota
Description: Proteobacteria bacterium partial 16S ribosomal RNA
Rfam family: Bacterial small subunit ribosomal RNA
Source: RNAcentral
UGGGGAAUAUUGGACAAUGGGGGGAACCCUGAUCCAGCCAUGCCGCGUGUGUGAAGAAGGCCUUAUGGUUGUAAAGCACUUUAAGCGAGGAGGAGGGUACUGGUAUUAAUACUACCAGGUACUGGACGUUACUCGCAGAAUAAGCACCGGCUAACUCUGUGCCAGCAGCCGCGGUAAUACAGAGGGUGCGAGCGUUAAUCGGAUUUACUGGGCGUAAAGCGUGCGUAGGCGGCUAAUUGAGUCGGAUGUGAAAUCCCCGAGCUUAACUUGGGAAGUGCAUUCGAUACUGGUUAGCUAGAGUGUGGGAGAGGAUGGUAGAAUGCCAGGUGUAGCGGUGAAAUGCGUAGAGAUCUGGAGGAAUACCGAUGGCGAAGGCAGCCAUCUGGCCUAACACUGACGCUGAGGUACGAAAGCAUGGGGAGCAAACAGG